Molecule: ribosomal RNA, 440 nt
Filed under: uncultured bacterium
Lineage: Bacteria
Description: partial 16S ribosomal RNA
Rfam family: Bacterial small subunit ribosomal RNA
Source: RNAcentral
CCUACGGGGGGCUGCAGUGGGGGAUAUUGCACAAUGGGGGAAACCCUGAUGCAGCGACGCCGCGUGGGUGAAGAAGCGCCUCGGCGCGUAAAGCCCUGUCAGCAGGGAAGAAAAUGACGGUACCUGAAGAAGAAGCCCCGGCUAACCACGUGCCAGCAGCCGCGGUAAUACGUAGGGGGCAAGCGUUAUCCGGAUUUACUGGGUGUAAAGGGGGCGCAGACGGGGAUGCAAGCCAGGAGUGAAAGCCCGGGGCCCAACCCCGGGACUGCACUUGGAACUGCGUGGCUAGAGUGCAGGAGGGGCAGGCGGAAUGCCUGGUGUAGCGGUGAAAUGCGUAGAUAUCAGGAGGAACACCGGUGGCGAAGGCGGCCUGCUGGACUGCAACUGACGUUGAGGCCCGAAAGCGUGGGGAGCAAACAGGAUUAGAUACCCUAGUAGUC